This 301-nucleotide unclassified non-coding RNA is filed under the name Glomeraceae sp. RNAcentral's name for it is "partial contains 5.8S ribosomal RNA and internal transcribed spacer 2". The stretch from base 1 to 71 matches the Rfam family "5.8S ribosomal RNA", at positions 84 to 154 of the family's 154-position model. The record is from RNAcentral. Lineage: Eukaryota; Fungi; Glomeromycota; Glomeromycetes; Glomerales; Glomeraceae.
GUGAAUCAUCAAAUUUUUGAACGCAAAUUGCACUCUCUGGUAUUCCGGGGAGUAUGCCUGUUUGAGGGUCGCCUAAAUAAACAUCGAUUCAUUGCUUUUUUUUUUGGAAAAAAAAGUAAAUGUUAUCGGAUCUGAGCCUUCUUUUUUUUUUAUUUUAAAGUGGCUUAAAAUUUAUUUCGGGUAUGAUAAACGUAAUUUACGAUUAAUUCUGAUCAAAAAAGAACGUAUAUGAACAUACCAUCAAUUUAUAUAUGUAAUACGGUUGAACUAUGGUGUAUAUCUAGUUUAUUCGUAUACGAUU